RNAcentral lists this transfer RNA (72 nucleotides) under Micractinium pusillum. RNAcentral describes it as "tRNA-Asn". The record is from RNAcentral. Lineage: Eukaryota; Viridiplantae; Chlorophyta; Trebouxiophyceae; Chlorellales; Chlorellaceae.
CUCCCCAAGUUGGAAUUGAACCAACGACAAGAUGGUUAACAGCCAUCUGCUCUACCCCUGAGCUAUUGGAGA